RNAcentral lists this ribosomal RNA (270 nucleotides) under uncultured archaeon. Its description in RNAcentral is "partial 16S ribosomal RNA". It matches the Rfam family "Archaeal small subunit ribosomal RNA", at positions 477 to 747 of the family's 1478-position model. The record is from RNAcentral.
CUGCAGCCCGAGUGGUGAUCGAUUUUAUUGAGCCUAAAGCGUCCGUAGCCGGACUAGUAAACCCUUGGGUAAAUUGGGCAGCUUAACUGUCCAAAUUCCAAGGGGACUGCUAGUCUUGGGACCGGGAGAGGUCAGAGGUACUCAAGGGGUAGGGGCUAAAUCCUGUAAUCCUUUGGGGACCACCAGUGGCGAAGGCGUCUGACUAGAACGGAUCCGACGGUAAGGGACGAAACCCUGGGGCGCGAACCGGAUUAGAUACCCGAGUAGUCC